UGAAGACUGUCUCAUCAGCCAAAGCAAAAGUGGAGCAUGCACAUGGAAAAUGCACUAAGUGAUAAAUACAACUUGCUUAAAGUCCCACAAACAGAGUAGAGAUCUCAAGGCCACACCUGCAUGGAAGCACAACUGAUUCAUUAACAAGGUUUAACCAAAGUACCUGCCUCUGAAAGCUUUUCCGGCAGAAGCACAAAAGAAAUUACUCUGUCCUCUGACAGAAGGAUCGACGAGGCAGCACCUGGUUUUUGGGACAUUUACCAAGAAGAACGUGAGCGUCUUCGGUCUUCAGGUGUCCUCAAGAUUCAUCAUGUGCUUCAAGGACACAUGCCCCCAUUUCAUUUUUACAGGGAAGUUGCUCAUCUGGCAUGUUACCCCAGCACAGGAAAUUUGUGAUUGAGAAAGAGAGCUACGCUGAGCUAAUCAGGGUUGUCCUGACCCAAAAGACUGCUUAAUGAUGGGAAGAAGCAGUAAUUAGGUGAGAGUUCCCUGUUUGCAGUGCCC
This 504-nucleotide long non-coding RNA is filed under the name Numida meleagris (helmeted guineafowl). RNAcentral describes it as "lncRNA (ENSNMEG00000008691.1)". Lineage: Eukaryota; Metazoa; Chordata; Aves; Galliformes; Numididae. The record is from RNAcentral.